Molecule: unclassified non-coding RNA, 270 nt
Filed under: Hevea brasiliensis (rubber tree)
Lineage: Eukaryota; Viridiplantae; Streptophyta; Magnoliopsida; Malpighiales; Euphorbiaceae
Source: RNAcentral
GUAAAUAACGGCCGUUACGUUACGACCAUUAUUUGAUUCCAUGGUCCUGUGGGCUAUGGGAAUCGCUUGCAAGUUUAUUAAGGGUGAAAUGUGAGCGUAAUCCUAUCCUAGAAACUAAUACCGACCUUGUCUGCAGGGAUGGCAAUGGUUCAGUUUUUUGUAGAUAUACAACCUGAUAAGAUGGGUUUAGGUAGUAUAUAAUUAGAUUUAGAAUGAGUUCAGAUUUAAAAAAUAAUAAUCGUGUCAGGUUCAAGCUUUACAUAUUGGGCA